AUUGAACGCUAGCUACAGGCUUAACACAUGCAAGUCGAGGGGUAACGAGAGGAAAGCUUGCUUUCCUUGUCGACGACCGGCGCACGGGUGAGUAACGCGUAUCCAACCUGCCCCCAACUAGGGAAUAACCUUGCGAAAGUAAGACUAAUACCCUAUAAUUUCCUCAGAUGCCAUCUGACGAGGAAUAAAGAUUUAUCGGUUGUGGAUGGGGAUGCGUCUGAUUAGCUUGUUGGCGGGGUAACGGCCCACCAAGGCAACGAUCAGUAGGGGUUCUGAGAGGAAGGUCCCCCACAUUGGAACUGAGACACGGUCCAAACUCCUACGGGAGGCAGCAGUGAGGAAUAUUGGUCAAUGGGCGGAAGCCUGAACCAGCCAAGUAGCGUGCAGGAUGACGGCCCUAUGGGUUGUAAACUGCUUUUAUACAGGAAUAAAGUUAGCCACGUGUGGUUAUUUGUAGGUACUGUAUGAAUAAGGACCGGCUAAUUCCGUGCCAGCAGCCGCCGUAA
This 506-nucleotide ribosomal RNA is filed under the name uncultured bacterium. RNAcentral's name for it is "partial 16S ribosomal RNA". It matches the Rfam family "Bacterial small subunit ribosomal RNA", at positions 30 to 523 of the family's 1533-position model. The record is from RNAcentral.